RNAcentral lists this ribosomal RNA (254 nucleotides) under uncultured bacterium. RNAcentral's name for it is "partial 16S ribosomal RNA". It matches the Rfam family "Bacterial small subunit ribosomal RNA", at positions 524 to 776 of the family's 1533-position model. The record is from RNAcentral.
UACGUAGGGGGCUAGCGUUGUCCGGAAUCAUUGGGCGUAAAGCGCGUGUAGGCGGCCCGGUAAGUCCGCUGUGAAAGUCGGGGGCUCAACCCUCGGAUGCCGGUGGAUACUGUCGGGCUCGAGUACGGAAGAGGCGAGUGGAAUUCCUGGUGUAGCGGUGAAAUGCGCAGAUAUCAGGAAGAACACCCGUGGCGAAAGCGGCUCUCUGGAACGGUACUGACGCUGAGACGGCGAAAGCGUGGGGAGCGAACAGG